ACGGGGGGUGCGAGCGUUGUCCGGAAUCACUGGGCGUAAAGGGCGCGUAGGUGGCGUGAUAAGGGUGUGGUGAAAGCCCGGGGCUCAACCCCGGGUCUGCCAUGCCGACUGUCAGGCUGGAGUACUGUAGGGGCAGGCGGAAUUCCGGGUGUAGCGGUGGAAUGCGUAGAGAUCCGGAAGAACACCGGUGGCGAAGGCGGCCUGCUGGGCAGUGGCUGACACUGAGGCGCGACAGCGUGGGGAGCAAACAGGA
RNAcentral lists this ribosomal RNA (253 nucleotides) under uncultured prokaryote. RNAcentral's name for it is "partial 16S ribosomal RNA". It matches the Rfam family "Bacterial small subunit ribosomal RNA", at positions 525 to 777 of the family's 1533-position model. The record is from RNAcentral.